UACGUAGGUGGCAAGCGUUGUCCGGAUUUAUUGGGCGUAAAGAGCUCGUAGGCGGUUCGAUAAGUCGGACGUGAAAUCUCCACGCUCAACGUGGAGGGGCCGUUCGAUACUGUCGUGACUCGAGUCCGGUAGGGGAGUGUGGAAUUCCCGGUGUAGCGGUGAAAUGCGCAGAGAUCGGGAGGAACACCCGUAGCGAAGGCGGCACUCUGGGCCGGUACUGACGCUGAGGAGCGAAAGCGUGGGGAGCAAACAGG
This 254-nucleotide ribosomal RNA is filed under the name uncultured bacterium. RNAcentral's name for it is "partial 16S ribosomal RNA". It matches the Rfam family "Bacterial small subunit ribosomal RNA", at positions 524 to 776 of the family's 1533-position model. The record is from RNAcentral.